AUUGUCGGGAUCUUAUGAGGGAAAUCCCAGAUGCAAUUGGGGGACUAUCCCGCUUGAGGAUUUUGGACUUCUCUAGAAUUGGUAUUUUUGGUUUGCCUGCCACAAUCGCUCAUCUCUCUCACCUAGAAGAGUUACGUGUCCAAGGUUGUUGGAAUCUACCGAGCCAAAUACCGGAUGCAAUCGGGGGACUAUCCCGCUUGAGGAUCUUGGACUUCUCUGGUACUUGUAUUUCUGGUUUGCCUGCCACGAUCACUCAUCUCUCUCACCUAGAAGAGUUACGUGUCCGAGAUUGUGGGGAUCUUAUGGGUAAAAUCCCAGAUGCAAUUGGUAGACUAUCCCACUUGAGGAUCUUGGACUUCUCUGGUACUUGUAUUUCUGGUUUGCCUGCCACGAUCACUCAACUCUCUCACUUGGAAGAGUUACAUGUCCACGGUUGUCGGAAUUUUACGAGCAAAAUCCCAAAUGCAAUUGACAGACUAUCCUGCUUGAGGAUCUUGGACUUCUCUGGUACUUGUAUUUUUGCCUGUCACGAUCACUAAUCUCUAUCACCUGGAAGAGUUACGUGUCCACGGUUGUGAGAAUUUUACGAGCGAAAUCCCAAAUGCAAUUGGCGGACUAUCCCGCUUGAGGAUCUUGGACUUCUCUGGUACUUGUAUUUCUAGUUUGCCAGCCACAAUCGUUCAUCUCUCUCACCUAGAAGAGUUAUAUGUCCAGGAUUGUUGGGAUCUUAUGUGGGAAAUCCCAGAUGCAAUUGGCGGACUAUCCCACUUAAGGAUCUUGGACUUCUCUAGAACUAGUAUUUCUGGUUUGCCUACCACAAUCGCUCAUCUCUCUCACCUAGAAGAGUUACGUGUCCAAGGUUGUUGGAAUCUAGUGAGCCAAAUACCAGAUGCAAUUGGGGGACUAUCCCACUUGAGGAUCUUGGACUUCUCUAGAACUCAUAUUUCUAGUUUGCCUACCACGAUCACUCAACUCUCGCACCUAGAAGAGUUACGUGUCCAAGAUUGUUGGAAGCUACCAAGCCAAAUAAUAAUUGCAAUCGGGAGACUAUUCCACUUGAGGAUCUUGGACUUCUCUGGUACUCGUAUUUCUAGUUUGCCGGCCACGAUCACUCAUCUCUCUCACCUAGAAGAGUUACGAGUCCACAGUUAUCAGUAUCUUAUAGGUAAAAUCCCAGAUGCAAUUGGCAGACUAUCUCGCUUGAGGAUCUUGGACUUCUCUGAAACUCGUAUUUUUGGUUUGCCUGCCACGAUCGCUCAUCUCUCUCACCUAGAAGAGUUACAUGUCCG
This 1289-nucleotide long non-coding RNA is filed under the name Eucalyptus grandis. RNAcentral describes it as "long non-coding RNA (EGRA_LNC000382)". Lineage: Eukaryota; Viridiplantae; Streptophyta; Magnoliopsida; Myrtales; Myrtaceae. The record is from RNAcentral.